RNAcentral lists this microRNA precursor (92 nucleotides) under Paramuricea clavata. The record is from RNAcentral. Lineage: Eukaryota; Metazoa; Cnidaria; Anthozoa; Malacalcyonacea; Plexauridae.
UAUUAAUCAAAAUGCUGAUGUUAAUAAUGCAUUGUAUGGCUUACAGACUCAACUGUAUGCCAUACAAUGCACUAUUAACAUCAGCAUUCCGC